AUGCGCAGAUUUCAGGAGGAACACCGAUGGCGAAGGCAGGUCUCUGGGCUGUUACUGACGCUGAGGAGCGAAAGCAUGGGGAGCGAACAGGAUUAGAUACCCUGGUAGUCCAUGCCGUAAACGUUGGGCAMUAGGUGUGGGGAACAUUCCACGUUUUCCGCGCCGUAGCUAACGCAUUAAGUGCCCCGCCUGGGGAGUACGGCCGCAAGGCUAAAACUCAAAGGAAUUGACGGGGGCCCGCACAAGCGGCGGAGCAUGCGGAUUAAUUCGAUGCAACGCGAAGAACCUUACCAAGGCUUGACAUACACCGGACCGGGCCAGAGAUGGUCUUUCCCCCUUGUGGGGCUGGUGUACAGGUGGUGCAUGGUUGUCGUCAGCUCGUGUCGUGAGAUGUUGGGUUAAGUCCCGCAACGAGCGCAACCCUCGUUCUAUGUUGCCAGCACGUGAUGGUGGGGACUCAUAGGAGACUGCCGGGGUCAACUCGGAGGAAGGUGGGGAUGACGUCAAAUCAUCAUGCCCCUUAUGUCUUGGGCUUCACGCMUGCUACAAUGGCCAGUACAAUGGGUUGCGAUGCCGUGAGGUGGAGCUAAUCCCAAAAAGCUGGUYUCAGUUCGGAUCGUGGUCUGCAACUCGACCACGUGAAGUCGGAGUCGCUAGUAAUCGCAGAUCAGCAACGCUGCGGUGAAUACGUUCCCGGGCCUUGUACACACCGCCCGUCAA
Molecule: ribosomal RNA, 720 nt
Filed under: Kocuria rhizophila
Lineage: Bacteria; Bacillati; Actinomycetota; Actinomycetes; Micrococcales; Micrococcaceae
Description: bacterial SSU rRNA
Rfam family: Bacterial small subunit ribosomal RNA
Source: RNAcentral